GAGUGGCGAACUGGUGAGUAACACGUGGGAAACCUGCCCAGAAGCGGGUGGAUAACACCUGGAAACAGAUGCUAAUACCGCAUAACAACUUGGACCGCAUGGUCCGAGCUUGAAAGAUGGCUUCGGCUAUCACUUUUGGAUGGUCCCGCGGCGUAUUAGCUAGAUGGUGGGGUAACGGCUCACCAUGGCAAUGAUACGUAGCCGACCUGAGAGGGUAAUCGGCCACAUUGGGACUGAGACACGGCCCAAACUCCUACGGGAGGCAGCAGUAGGGAAUCUUCCACAAUGGACGAAAGUCUGAUGGAGCAACGCCGCGUGAGUGAAGAAGGGUUUCGGCUCGUAAAACUCUGUUGUUAAAGAAGAACAUAUCUGAGAGUAACUGUUCAGGUAUUGACGGUAUUUAACCAGAAAGCCACGGCUAACUACGUGCCAGCAGCCGCGGUAAUACGUAGGUGGCAAGCGUUGUCCGGAUUUAUUGGGCGUAAAGCGAGCGCAGGCGGUUUUUUAAGUCUGAUGUGAAAGCCUUCGGCUCAACCGAAGAAGUGCAUCGGAAACUGGGAAACUUGAGUGCAGAAGAGGACAGUGGAACUCCAUGUGUAGCGGUGAAAUGCGUAGAUAUAUGGAAGAACACCAGUGGCGAAGGCGGCUGUCUGGUCUGUAACUGACGCUGAGGCUCGAAAGUAUGGGGUAGCAAACAGGAUUAGAUACCCUGGUAGUUCCAUACCGUAAACGAGGAAUGCUAAGUGUGGGAAGGGUUUCCGCCUUUCAGUGCUGCAGCUAACGCAUUAAGCAUUCCGCCUGGGGAGUACGGCCGCAAGGCUGAAACUCAAAGGAAUUGACGGGGGCCCGCACAAGCGGUGGAGCAUGUGGUUUAAUUCGAAGCUACGCGAAGAACCUUACCAGGUCUUGACAUACUAUGCAAAUCUAAGAGAUUAAACGUUCCCUUCGGGGACAUGGAUACAGGUGGUGCAUGGUUGUCGUCAGCUCGUGUCGUGAGAUGUUGGGUUAAGUCCCGCAACGAGCGCAACCCUUAUUAUCAGUUGCCAGCAUUAAGUUGGGCACUCUGGUGAGACUGCCGGUGACAAACCGGAGGAAGGUGGGGAUGACGUCAAAUCAUCAUGCCCCUUAUGACCUGGGCUACACACGUGCUACAAUGGAUGGUACAACGAGUUGCGAACUCGCGAGAGUAAGCUAAUCUCUUAAAGCCAUUCUCAGUUCGGAUUGUAGGCUGCAACUCGCCUACAUGAAGUCGGAAUCACUAGUAAUCGCGGAUCAGCAUGCCGCGGUGAAUACGUUCCCGGGCCUUGUACACACCGCCCGUCACACCAUGAGAGUUUGUAACACCCAAAGUCGGUGGGUAACCUUUUACGAAACAGCCGCUUAA
RNAcentral lists this ribosomal RNA (1384 nucleotides) under Lactiplantibacillus plantarum. RNAcentral's name for it is "Lactobacillus plantarum 16S ribosomal RNA". It matches the Rfam family "Bacterial small subunit ribosomal RNA", at positions 93 to 1460 of the family's 1533-position model. The record is from RNAcentral. Lineage: Bacteria; Bacillati; Bacillota; Bacilli; Lactobacillales; Lactobacillaceae.